GGAAUCUUGCACAAUGGAGGAAACUCUGAUGCAGCGAUGCCGCGUGAGUGAAGAAGGCCUUUGGGUUGUAAAGCUCUUUUGUAGGGGAAGAUAAUGACUGUACCCUAACAAUAAGGUCCGGCUAACUUCGUGCCAGCAGCCGCGGUAAUACGAAGGGACCUAGCGUAGUUCGGAAUUACUGGGCGUAAAGCGCGCGUAGGCCGUUGAGUUAGUUAAUUGUGAAAUCCCAAAGCUUAACUUUGGAACUGCAAUUAAAACUGCUCGACUAGAGUUUGAUAGAGGAAAGCGGAAUACAUAGUGUAGAGGUGAAAUUCGUAGAUAUUAUGUAGAACACCAGUUGCGAAGGCGGCUUUCUGGAUCAACACUGACGCUGAAACACGAAAAUAUGGAUAGCAAAGAGGAUUAGAUACCCUCGUAGUCCAUACCAUAAACGAUGAUUACUAGAUGUUGGAAAUUUAUUUUCAGUAUCGCAGCUAACGCAUUAAGCAAUCCGCCUGGGGAGUACGACCGCAAGGUUAAAACUCAAAUGAAUUGACGGA
Molecule: ribosomal RNA, 539 nt
Filed under: uncultured bacterium
Lineage: Bacteria
Description: bacterial SSU rRNA
Rfam family: Bacterial small subunit ribosomal RNA
Source: RNAcentral